Molecule: non-coding RNA, 3946 nt
Organism: Chrysemys picta bellii (western painted turtle)
Lineage: Eukaryota; Metazoa; Chordata; Testudines; Emydidae
Source: RefSeq, a predicted model, not a curated record
UCAGAAUAUUUUAAGGAAAUGAGCAAAACUAGGUAUGCUUCCCUUCAAGAGUUUCCCCCCAAAAUGCUGAAUUUACUAUAAUUAGUUUUGUUCUCUACAGAAACCUUCAUUUAGUGGCAACGCCAUUAAACAAGUGAAAUACAAAUUACAAGUGACAUUUAUAUGAUCAUAAUCACUCCUUCCUGGCUGCCAGGAAUAUUUUCUCAUAGAGAACCUGCAUUUCUGCAGAUGGUAUGAAAAAAAAUGAGGCCUGCAGAACACACCAUUAUUCCUGUGAGGCCGUCAGUUCAUUAGUCGAAGCAGCCAAGUCUUGACGAGCCGCAACUGAUCAGCAAAUGGGAAAUGAGCAGGAGUAUAAAUUCCCAGCAAACUGAAUCAUUAACAUUUGCUGCCUGCAUCCUGGAAACCCGCCAAUGAGGGAGAAGAUGUAUUGUGUGUGUCUGCUCAGUCUCCUCACAAUAGGCUAUUCUACCUCCUGGAAUCUUCCAUCACUGUGAGAUAAGGAUGCCAGCAUUCCCCUUUAUGUCCUCAGGGAUCAGAUAUCUGCAGAUCUGUAGGAAAGUGUCCUCUUUUCCAGUUCUCCAAUAAUUGGCAAGCGACCCACACCAGCAUGCUGCAGAGGAAGGUAAAAAAUCUCCAAGGUCACUGCCAAUCAGAUCUGGAGAAAAAAAUCUUCCUGGUCCCAUAUAUUGUGUUCAGUUACAUUCUGAAUAUGUUUUAACAAGAACCAGACAGCCAAGCACCUAGAGAGAGAAUGCUCGGUGCCACCUCACAGCCCUGGCCCACCACAUCCAAUGUCCCAUCUCCAGCCUGGGCCAUCCCUGAUGCUUCAGAGGAAAGAGAUUUUUAAAAAUACCUGGCAUAAACUGGGGGAAAGGAAAUCCCUUCCUGCCCCCUGCAGGUGGCUUGCUGAAACCCUGAAGAAUGAGCCUUUAUAUAUGCUAAUUUAUGUGAGUGAAGUGUGUGAUUUAUUUAUAAGCAUUCAUUAAGGAGAUUUCUAUAAUACAACUAUGAAUCAUAUCAUCAAUGGCAGAAUUCAUCCUAACUCCAAUUAUUGUCUUAUCUCACUUAAACUUUCACCUAGAUAUGUUUGCAUUAUUGCACACUCUCAUAAGAUAAAUUUAAAAUGAAAAUGCCUGAAGCAAUACUGUCCACUUCACUAUGACAGUAAUAUUUUGUUGUAAAUCUCCUGUGGAAGAGUUAAGUCUGUAUUCAUUUCAGUGAGAGUCAAUACAACCCUAACUAUUCAUUCCUUGGUGUUGUAGUUUGUUUUUUUAACUCAAACUUUCUUGAACGAUUACAACAUAUACUUAGAGUUGGGUUUUCUAAAGCAUUCAGCAUUGGCCUAACUCUGCUCCCUUUGAAGUCAUUGCUCCUAAACCACAGAUCUAUACUUGCCACCUUAACUAUCCCUUAACAAAGCUUGUUCUCUAAACAUAUUCUUCAGCUUCUCUGUUGUAUGUUUGUGAAAAUUAUUAGGAAUCCUAAUGAAAACCAUUGAAAACAGCUAUCAUGCAGGGCCCCACACUGAAAUUGAUAGUUGAAAUGGAGAAAUCUGCAUAUUUGAAAUGACUCUAUGUUGCUGUGAAUGUAGAACUUAUAUUUAGCUCCUAUAAUUCCCUGAGCCCGAAUUUUAUAAUGAAGUAGAAAUUAAUGUAAGGAUAAAUUCUCAUCACAAAGUACAGCUCAUAACUGUUUAAGUUCAGUUUAUGGUCUGUUGAUUGGCUAAGUCUGAGUUAAUUGAAAGUAAUUAUAAAUAGGCAAUUUGCAAACUGAAAAAAGAAAAUCAGAGUGAAAAAUUAAGCUUCCAUGGUCCAAUUCAGCGAGUCUUAUAGUUGGAGCAAAGAAACUUUGAUAUAAAUGUAAUUCCUCAGAGACAAUGCUCUUCCCACUACUAUUAUUUGAAAAAUAAAUGUAAACAGAUUCUGCACUCUCCAUCCAACAAAAGGUCCUAUUGGCAUGAAAUUUCUCUAGUGUAAAAUGUCUUCUUCCCUCUAAACAGAUACCAUACAUUGUACCCAAAGUCAAAGUAUGUUACAAAAAUAUAUUACAAAAUAUCUUUAUAUGUAUUACAAAAUAUCUUUAAGUUAAGGUAUGGUGAUAAAACAUGACCUUCUGAAUAUUUUGGGGGUUCAGUGAUAUUGUAUGAAUAUUAACUAUAUUUACUAAGCCUUGUCAUCUUAUAUUUGUCUGUAAAGCAUUAUGCACACCAGUAGAAAAUAGCAAUGAAUAAUAAUAGUGUGAUCCAUAUAUUUAAGUGGCAUAAAAGCCUACCUAGGCUGUAGUACUUACGAAAAAAGAAAACAUCAUGUCAUUAUUUAUAUACUUAGUUACUCUGCAGAGUGAUUGUAAAAUAGCUUUAAAUCCUACUCAGCUCUUCUAUCUCGGCUGAUUACUUUAUCGGAACAGUGAAAUGAAUUUUAAUUAUAAUAUGACAUUUCCAUGAAAUAUUCUGAUAGAUGUUCGUCUUAUUUUUCCAUCAGUCAUCAUAAACAGAAGGAAACAUUCAUGAUAUUCAGCUACCAAAAUACCUCCAGUACUGCCUACCAAAGAUACCUUCAGUGUUCAUCGAUUAGCUCUGAUGUCACACAGACUCCAAAGUAUUGUAAUGUUAUUCCCCAAAACAGCCCCGCCUUCUGAAAGUGGUUCUUCCGAGAAUGAUGUAGAAACAUGUUGAUGCUAAGCUGUGAGGCAAACUGCUUGCCUAGCCCUAUUGUGAAGGCACCUUUAUAUGCAAAAGUAUCUGUCUCCUUAGCUGGGUAACCUGCAAAUCUUUAGUUGAUAGUUGUUCAGGAAAAUGUAACACAUUUUGCAGUCUAUAAGGCAGGAUGCUCUGCUGGCCUAUCUAUACUCUACUGGCCUUACAGUCAGCAGUUUUGUGAUCCUUAGCCUGGAUUUUGGAUAUUCCAGAGAUGAUAUCACACCACUUACUGUAGCCGCUGAAUACUAAUGAGGAGUUAGGGAAGAUUUGCAACUGCUGAGCCUGAAAUUGUUUGAGAAUUUUAUUUGUACAUUUCCCUUUGCAGGUUUUGUCACAACUCACUUGUCUCUGUCCUCCCACAUCCUAUAUUUAUUGAGAAACAAAUAUAAAUUCCAAAGAUCAAUAAUCUUGGGCCUGAAAGCUCUGUCCUGUGAGUGAAAUACGUCUUUAAAAGUGUAGCUCUAUGAGUUGUGUGCAUACACUUGAAACUUCUGUUUAAUUUCUGUUCUUGAACCUCCUUUUUAAAAUCCAGAUAAAUGCUGGACCAGGUGUAAUUUAUUAGCCCAACAGUAAUAGCCUUUCAAUAUCCUAACCGGACUGCUGUCUUCCCUCUGAAUAUUCCAACAGGCAUACAGUAAGGAUUCAGAUUUUUUUAAACACAGCAAAUUAAUCACAGAAUUAGAGCAAUUAUGUAACAAGUUAAAUGCACAGGGACUUACUUUCAUAAAUGCAACUGAAAAUAGGAGUGUAACCCUCCCCAGUUAGUGGGGGGACUGAAAUUGACUUUCAAGUGAGCAGAACAGGUCCAGUCUCUCCUUAGUUGAAAGCCCAGCCUAGAACCAGAGGCUCAACACAUUCAUGAAGAAGGCUUUGUGCUUCCUGAUUAUUGUACUACUGCAGAGUGCAGGGAUGCAUUCCUAAUCAAUAAUUAGUCAUUAAAACAGCAUGGACUAUCUUCCACAGGCAGCAUCAUUUUCGUUGGUAGCAUUUCCUUCUUUCAAGUAAUCUAAAUGAGUCUGCUGUUUUUGUUUUUGCUUUCCCAGUCAACCAUCACCAUGUUUAUCAGAUGCUUUCUCUUUGUCACAGAGGCCCAUUGCAGCUUCUGAUAUCUGAAAGGUCUGAGCCUGUGACUAUAUAAAAGAUGCUAAUAGAUAUGUAACCACUAUAUAGAGAGCUGGUUGAAAUUUUCUGUCAAUGUGAUUUUUGGAUAGAAAAUACGGUUUUUGCAAAACUGAAAUUUUCCAC